Molecule: transfer RNA, 64 nt
Filed under: Illex argentinus (Argentinian squid)
Lineage: Eukaryota; Metazoa; Mollusca; Cephalopoda; Oegopsida; Ommastrephidae
Description: tRNA-His
Source: RNAcentral
GUAAAGUUAGUUUAAUAUAAAAUGGUAAGUUGUGGGUUUACAGAUAAAAGUUUUUUACUUUACU